GGGGGUAUAGUCUAAUUGGUAAGACAGCGAUCUUGCUCAUCGUAGUUUUAGGUUCGAGUCCUGAUAUCUCCA
Diplodia corticola is the source of this 72-nucleotide non-coding RNA. The record is from Rfam. Lineage: Eukaryota; Fungi; Ascomycota; Dothideomycetes; Botryosphaeriales; Botryosphaeriaceae.